UGGGGAAUUUUGCGCAAUGGGCGAAAGCCUGACGCAGCAACGCCGCGUGGGUGAUGAAGGUCUUCGGAUCGUAAAACCCUGUCGUCAGGGACGAAGGUCGGUCGUUGAAUAGGCGAUUGGCUUGACGGUACCUGGAGAGGAAGCCCCGGCUAACUCUGUGCCAGCAGCCGCGGUAAUACGUAGGGAGCAAGCGUUAUCCGGAUUUAUUGGGCGUAAAGAGUGCGCAGCCGGUUUAUUAAGUCUAAAAUUAAAGCCUGGAGCUUAACUCCAGUUCGUUUUAGAAACUGAUAGACUCGAGUGUGGUAGAGGCAAAUGGAAUUUCUAGUGUAGCGGUAAAAUGCGUAGAUAUUAGAAGGAACACCAGUGGCGAAAGCGGCCUCCUGGACCAUUCCUGACACUCAGACGCGAAAGCUAGGGUAGCAAACG
Molecule: ribosomal RNA, 426 nt
Filed under: uncultured prokaryote
Description: bacterial SSU rRNA
Rfam family: Bacterial small subunit ribosomal RNA
Source: RNAcentral